RNAcentral lists this ribosomal RNA (497 nucleotides) under uncultured bacterium. Its description in RNAcentral is "partial 16S ribosomal RNA". It matches the Rfam family "Bacterial small subunit ribosomal RNA", at positions 28 to 507 of the family's 1533-position model. The record is from RNAcentral.
GAUGAACGCUGGCGGCGUGCCUAAUACAUGCAAGUCGAGCGAACGGACGAGAAGCUUGCUCCUCUGAUGUUAGCGGCGGACGGGUGCGUAACACAUGGAUAACCUACCUCUAAGACUGGGAUAACUUCGUGAAACCGGAUCUACUACCGGAUAAUAUUUUGAACCGCAUUGUUCAAGAGUUAAAGACGGUCUUGCUGUCACUUAUAGCUGGAUCCGCGCUGCAUUAGCUAGUUGGUAAGGUAACGGCUUACCAAGGCAACGAUGCAUAGCCGACCUGAGAGGGUGAUCGGCCACACGGGAACUGAGACACGGUCCAGACUCCUACGGGAGGAAGCAGUAGGGAAUCUUACGCAAUGGGCGAAAGCCUGACGGAGCAACGCCGCGUGAGUGAUGAAGGUCUUCGGAUCGUAAAACUCUGUUAUUAGGAAAGAACAUAUGUGUAAGUAACUGUGCACAUCUUGACGGUACCUAAUCAGAAAGCCACGGCUAACUACGUG